Molecule: ribosomal RNA, 354 nt
Filed under: uncultured bacterium
Lineage: Bacteria
Description: bacterial SSU rRNA
Rfam family: Bacterial small subunit ribosomal RNA
Source: RNAcentral
AGAGUUUGAUCCUGGCUCAGGAUGAACGCUAGCUACAGGCUUAACACAUGCAAGUCGAGGGGAAACGACAUCGAAAGCUUGUUUUUGAUGGGCGUCGACCGGCGCACGGGUGAGUAACGCGUAUCCAACCUGCCCACCACUUGGGGAUAACCUUGCGAAAGUAAGACUAAUACCCAAUGACGUCUCUAGAAGACAUCUGAAAGAGAUUAAAGAUUUAUCGGUGAUGGAUGGGGAUGCGUCUGAUUAGCUUGUUGGCGGGGUAACGGCCGACCAAGGCGACGAUCAGUAGGGGUUCUGAGAGGAAGGUCCCUCACAUUGGAACUGAGACACGGUCCAAACUCCUACGGGAGGCGA